Molecule: ribosomal RNA, 496 nt
Filed under: uncultured bacterium
Lineage: Bacteria
Description: partial 16S ribosomal RNA
Rfam family: Bacterial small subunit ribosomal RNA
Source: RNAcentral
GAUGAACGCUGCGGCGUGCCUAAUACAUGCAAGUCGAGCGAACAGACGAGGAGCUUGCUCCUCUGACGUUAGCGGCGGCCGGGUGAGUAACACGUGGAUAACCUACCUAUAAGACUGGGAUAACUUCGGGAAACCGGAGCUAAUACCGGAUAAUAUAUUGAACCGCAUGGUUCAAUAGUGAAAGACGGUUUUGCUGUCACUUAUAGAUGGAUCCGCGCCGCAUUAGCUAGUUGGUAAGGUAACGGCUUACCAAGGCAACGAUGCGUAGCCGACCUGAGAGGGUGAUCGGCCACACUGGAACUGAGACACGGUCCAGACUCCUACGGGAGGCAGCAGUAGGGAAUCUUCCGCAUUGGGCGAAAGCCUGACGGAGCAACGCCGCGUGAGUGAUGAAGGUCUUCGGAUCGUAAAACUCUGUUAUUAGGGAAGAACAAAUGUGUAAGUAACUAUGCACGUCUUGACGGUACCUAAUCAGAAAGCCACGGCUAACUACGUG